UUUUUUUUUUUUUUUUAUUUUUUUUUUUUUUUGGCCGACCAUGGAGAAAGACGCUCGGGAAUUCAUCUCAGCCUGCUCUGUCUGGGCUUGGAACAAAACCUCCACCAAAGCUACAUCUGGUCUGCUUCAUCCUCUUCCCAUACAUAGUCGGCCCUGGUCACACAUAGCUUUGGACUUCGUCACUGGGCUUCCCCCAUUGAAUGGUAACUCAGUCAUCCUCACUAUUAUUGACUGAUUUUCCAAAGAGGCUCACUUCAUUCCCCUCCAAUCUGCCGUCCUCCUGGGAGACUGCGGACCUGCUGGUAUCCCAUGUUUUGCGGCUGCAUGGCAUCCCUAGUAACAUUGUUUCUGACAGAGGACCCCAGUUUACAUCCCAGGUAUGGACAGCCUUCUGCACAGCUCUGGGUAUUAAUGUCAGCCGUUCGUCUAGAUAUCACCCCCAGACCAAUGACCAGACCAAGUGGGCCAACCAGGAGUUGGAAACUGCAAUAUGCUGUGUGACUUCGGCUAACUCUUCCUCCUGGAGUGCCCAGCUAACCUGGGUGGAAUAUGCCCGCAACACCCUAAUCAACGCCUCAUCAGGUGUCACACUCUAUGAGUGUGCUCUGGGUUACCAACCUCCCUGGUUCUCUGCCCAAGAGGUCGAAGUAGCGGUGCCCUCAGUCCAGGACCACAUGCAUCGUUGUCGGCGCACCUGGAGGAGGGCCCGGGCUGCCCUUCUUCAUGCCUCCACCAGGACUUAAUCCCAAGCUAACCGUCUCCAUGCUUCAGCCCCAGUCUACACUCCAGACCAAAAGCUGCUCCUCCACCCCUCGGCUCAUUGACGACCAUCCUGCAUAUACCGUCCGGCGGCUUUUGGAUGUGCGCCAUCGGGGCCAAGGUUGGCAGUAUCUGAUGGACUGGGAAGGAUACGGGCCUGAGGAGCGCUGCUGGGUGCCCCGUCGUCACAUUCUGGAUCCCUCCCUCUUACAGGAUUUUCAUACCUCACACCCAGACAAGACGGGUCGUGCGCCAGGUGGCGUCCGUAGAGGGGGGCGUACUGUCACAUCUGCUUCUGCUACGCCCUCUGGUGUUCAUCCGGUGUCUUCUUGACCUGCAGUUAAUCCCCCUGUACACUCUCUCUCUCUCCCUCUCCCUUUUUGUGUGAUUGUGUGGUUGGAGAAAGGUGUGCUGGAGUCAGAGCAGAUCCCUACCAGCUGCAACUCGUUCCAUAAUGAAGACCUCAACAAAUACUCAGACCUGCCACUUGCACCCUGCCAGAUCGUAAUCUCUGCUCAUUACUGCUCUGCCUCUGGCUCCUGUCUCCUGUUCCACAUCUCACCACCCAACUACAUUGCUCUGGAUUUUACUCACCACCACUAUCUUUGAUUCCCCUCAGGACCUGUUUACCCUGUUCUACUCAGCUAACUCCAACCUCAGUCUCCACAUCUGUUUUUUCUGCAACUCAUCCAAGCUUCCCCGGAUCUGCACUCCAUAUCUCUCUGUGUAACUAUAAGUAUUUUGUUUCCUCAUCUGAGUCUGCUCUUGGGUUCCCCUGUGUCGCUCCGCCUAUAACAUAAAUAACAGCAAUAAAAGCUCUCUGUUUUUAGCUGCCAGUCAAUUAAACUACUAAUUAAAAACAUUCCACUCACGAUAACAAUCACACUUUAAUAGGGCAAAUAAUAUGGAGAGGCUGUUCGAUAGCAAGAACUGGAGUAUCUUCAUUGGAUUUUUCCAACUAAAUUGUAUUACAAACAAUGAACAGCACACACAAUUUAAACAGUUAAUUAGGUUAUUUAAAUGCAUUGCAUCAUAGGUGUAACAAUAGAUCAAUGUAAAGUAAGAUCUCAACAUGGAAAUGGAGGAAUUGAGACAGAUCAUCAAUAAAC
Molecule: long non-coding RNA, 1868 nt
Organism: Oncorhynchus tshawytscha (Chinook salmon)
Lineage: Eukaryota; Metazoa; Chordata; Actinopteri; Salmoniformes; Salmonidae
Source: Ensembl